UACAGAGGGUGCAAGCGUUAAUCGGAAUUACUGGGCGUAAAGCGCACGCAGGCGGUUGGUUAAGUCAGAUGUGAAAGCCCCGGGCUCAACCUGGGAAUUGCAUUUGAAACUGGCCAACUAGAGUACGUGAGAGGGGGGUAGAAUUCCAAGUGUAGCGGUGAAAUGCGUAGAUAUUAGGAGGAACAUCAGUGGCGAAGGCGACUUACUGGAACAUAACUGACGCUGAGGCUCGAAAGCGUGGGGAGCAAACAGG
This 253-nucleotide ribosomal RNA is filed under the name uncultured bacterium. RNAcentral's name for it is "partial 16S ribosomal RNA". It matches the Rfam family "Bacterial small subunit ribosomal RNA", at positions 524 to 776 of the family's 1533-position model. The record is from RNAcentral.